CUAUAGACUCGUUUUACCGCCAAGUAUGUUGCGUGUUCAGAACAUUUUUACGUAUCGAUGUUACGUAAAUAUGUGGACGACCCGAACCACAUUAUUAAAUUAGAACUAAACAAUAUAGCAGAAGAUUUAACGUAUGAAGAGAUACGUGUUAAAAUCUUAGAUAAGAAGGAUCGUAUUCAACACUCAAAGGUUAUAUCUCAAGAGUUAGAAUCUGAAAUGAAGUCAAGGUACCCUCACCUCUUCGGCAUACCAGGUACGUACGUAAAUUUCGAGGGCGAAAUUCAUAAGUAGGGGAGAUUGUGAAACCCCAGAUUUUAUGAAUAAAAAUUUAAUUUUCUCGAAAUAUUUUUUGAAUAUUAUGGUGUGGAUUUGAGAUAGUGUUAUAGUUGUGGGUAGUAUUUAUAAAUUUUGAAAAGUAUGCAAGUUGUAUAAUAUUCGAUUGGUCGGGGAAUAUUCUUUUUAUCGGGGAAUAUCUGUACGACGGUACAAUCAUUGGUGGACCCCACAACGGAAUCAUUGUCGGAUUGAGAAAACGACAAAAAUAUUUUUAUGAAAAUAA
This 559-nucleotide long non-coding RNA is filed under the name Panax ginseng (ginseng). Its description in RNAcentral is "long non-coding RNA (PGIN_LNC007478)". Lineage: Eukaryota; Viridiplantae; Streptophyta; Magnoliopsida; Apiales; Araliaceae. The record is from RNAcentral.